RNAcentral lists this ribosomal RNA (253 nucleotides) under uncultured bacterium. RNAcentral's name for it is "partial 16S ribosomal RNA". It matches the Rfam family "Bacterial small subunit ribosomal RNA", at positions 524 to 776 of the family's 1533-position model. The record is from RNAcentral.
UACGUAGGUGGCAAGCGUUGUCCGGGAUUAUUGGGCGUAAAGCGCGCGCAGGUGGUUCCUUAAGUCUGAUGUGAAAGCCCACGGCUCAACCGUGGAGGGGCAUUGGAAACUGGGGAACUUGAGUGCAGAAGAGGAAAGUGGAAUUCCAAGUGUAGCGGUGAAAUGCGUAGAGAUUUGGAGGAACACCAGUGGCGAAGGCGACUUUCUGGUCUGUAACUGGCACUGAGGUGCGAAAGGGUGGUGAUCAACGAGG